UUUAUGGAAUCACAGUGGUUGGGUUCAUGGAAUCACAGUGGUUGGGUUUAUGGAAUCACAGUGGUUGGGUUUAUGGAAUCACAGUGGCUGGGUUUAUGGAAUCACAGUGGCUGGGUUUAUGGAAUCACAGUGGUUGGGUUUAUGGAAUCACAGUGGUUGGGUUUAUGGAAUCGCAGUGGUUGGGUUUAUGGAAUCACAGUGGUUGGGUUCAUGGAAUCGCAGUGGUUGGGUUGAAAGGAUUUGAAAGAUCAUUUCAUUCCACCCCUGCCAUGGGCAGGGAUACCUUCCACUGUCCCAGGGUAUUCCAGCCUGGCCUUGGGCACUUCCAGGGAUCCAGAGGCAGCCACAGCUUCUCUGGGAACUUGUGCCAGGGCCUCCUCACCCUUCCAGAGAAGGAUUUUCCCCGGUAUCUGCUGCAGGAAUCUUCCCCUCAGUGAACCCAGAGCGUGACACCAACGCUGUGCCCAUCUGCACCCUCCAAGCAGAACCAGCCCUUUCAGAACUUCAUUCCCAGUGGGAAUUUCCUGUUUAUUUCCUGUGGUGAUGUCUGAGCACCCAGCAGCGAGUAACUAAAACCUGAGCCACCUGUCACCAGGAGACGUGAGAAGAGCGACAAGCAGAACAAUAACUGGAAUUCAAUUGGAGAAUCCAGCCCCUCUCAGCAGGCACAAAGCGCCGGGCCCAGUCCGCGGCCUCUGGGGCCGAUGGCGGGUUUGUGUUGAACCUCAUCAAAGGGCAAUAAAGAAAUCAGUCAGUGGAGAAUUAAA
This is a long non-coding RNA of Vidua chalybeata, 767 nucleotides long. RefSeq lists it as uncharacterized. The transcript has 2 exons. The record is from RefSeq and is a predicted model, not a curated record. NCBI's taxonomy places the organism in Eukaryota, Metazoa, Chordata, Aves, Passeriformes, Viduidae.